Molecule: small RNA, 205 nt
Filed under: Caballeronia concitans
Lineage: Bacteria; Pseudomonadati; Pseudomonadota; Betaproteobacteria; Burkholderiales; Burkholderiaceae
Description: Burkholderia sRNA Bp1_Cand738_SIPHT
Rfam family: Burkholderia sRNA Bp1_Cand738_SIPHT
Source: Rfam by way of RNAcentral
GCGAAAACCGGCGUGAGAAACGCCGGCAGUGACAACCAACAGCCAUGAAUCGCCGGGCAGGUACGGCGCAGGCGACGCACAGCGUCUGAAGAAAACCUGAGGCAGCGGUGAAAAAUUUCAAAACCUGCAACUGAUGCGAAGCGAUUCUAGCAGGGUUUAAUGAUCCGUCAAUGCUAUAGCUUUGUGUUUCAAUUACUUACAGUAA